GGGGGUGUAUUGGCUGGUGUCGCCAUUCCGAAUUUUGACUCCGCGGGUUCGAAUCCCGCCACCUCCA
RNAcentral lists this transfer RNA (67 nucleotides) under Rhizobiaceae bacterium. Its description in RNAcentral is "tRNA-OTHER". It matches the Rfam family "tRNA". From Rfam's summary of the family: Transfer RNA (tRNA) molecules are approximately 80 nucleotides in length. Their secondary structure includes four short double-helical elements and three loops (D, anti-codon, and T loops). The record is from RNAcentral. Lineage: Bacteria; Pseudomonadati; Pseudomonadota; Alphaproteobacteria; Hyphomicrobiales; Rhizobiaceae.